AGAGUUUGAUCAUGGCUCAGAACGUACGCUGGCGGCACGCCUAACACAUGCAAGUCGAACGAAGUAGCAAUACUUAGUGGCAGACGGGUGAGUAACAUGUAGGUAUCUGCCCUUUGGCCUGGAAUAACACGAGGAAACUUGUGCUAAUACCGGAUAAGUCUUUACGGAGAAAGCUUUAUGCACCAUUGGAUGAGCCUGCACUUGAUUAGUUUGUUGGUGGGGUAAUGGCCUACCAAGACUGUGAUCAAUAGCUGAUUUGAGAGGAUGAUCAGCCACAUUGGGACUGAGACACGGCCCAAACUCCUACGGGAGGCAGCAGUGGGGAAUCUUGCACAAUGGAGGAAACUCUGAUGCAGCGAUGCCGCGUGAGUGAAGAAGGCCUUUGGGU
RNAcentral lists this ribosomal RNA (388 nucleotides) under uncultured bacterium. RNAcentral's name for it is "bacterial SSU rRNA". It matches the Rfam family "Bacterial small subunit ribosomal RNA", at positions 8 to 423 of the family's 1533-position model. The record is from RNAcentral.